CUCCGGGGAUAACAGGCUGAUACCGCCCAAGAGUUCAUAUCGACGGCGGUGUUUGGCACCUCGAUGUCGGCUCAUCACAUCCUGGGGCUGAAGUAGGUCCCAAGGGUAUGGCUGUUCGCCAUUUAAAGUGGUACGCGAGCUGGGUUUAGAACGUCGUGAGACAGUUCGGUCCCUAUCUGCCGUGGGCGCUGGAGAAUUGAGGGGGGCUGCUCCUAGUACGAGAGGACCGGAGUGGACGCAUCACUGGUGUUCGGGUUGUCAUGCCAAUGGCAUUGCCCGGUAGCUAAAUGCGGAAGAGAUAAGUGCUGAAAGCAUCUAAGCACGAAACUUGCCCCGAGAUGAGUUCUCCCUGA
RNAcentral lists this ribosomal RNA (353 nucleotides) under Citrobacter sp. TBCS-14. RNAcentral describes it as "partial 23S ribosomal RNA". It matches the Rfam family "Bacterial large subunit ribosomal RNA", at positions 2466 to 2818 of the family's 2925-position model. The record is from RNAcentral. Lineage: Bacteria; Pseudomonadati; Pseudomonadota; Gammaproteobacteria; Enterobacterales; Enterobacteriaceae.